RNAcentral lists this ribosomal RNA (1427 nucleotides) under uncultured bacterium. RNAcentral's name for it is "16S ribosomal RNA". It matches the Rfam family "Bacterial small subunit ribosomal RNA". The record is from RNAcentral.
CAGGCUUAACACAUGCAAGUCGAGGGGCAGCAUGGUCUUAGCUUGCUAAGGCCGAUGGCGACCGGCGCACGGGUGAGUAACACGUAUCCAACCUGCCGUCUACUCUUGGACAGCCUUCUGAAAGGAAGAUUAAUACAAGAUGGCAUCAUGAGUCCGCAUGUUCACAUGAUUAAAGGUAUUCCGGUAGACGAUGGGGAUGCGUUCCAUUAGAUAGUAGGCGGGGUAACGGCCCACCUAGUCUUCGAUGGAUAGGGGUUCUGAGAGGAAGGUCCCCCACAUUGGAACUGAGACACGGUCCAAACUCCUACGGGAGGCAGCAGUGAGGAAUAUUGGUCAAUGGGCGAGAGCCUGAACCAGCCAAGUAGCGUGAAGGAUGACUGCCCUAUGGGUUGUAAACUUCUUUUAUAAAGGAAUAAAGUCGGGUAUGGAUACCCGUUUGCAUGUACUUUAUGAAUAAGGAUCGGCUAACUCCGUGCCAGCAGCCGCGGUAAUACGGAGGAUCCGAGCGUUAUCCGGAUUUAUUGGGUUUAAAGGGAGCGUAGAUGGAUGUUUAAGUCAGUUGUGAAAGUUUGCGGCUCAACCGUAAAAUUGCAGUUGAUACUGGAUAUCUUGAGUGCAGUUGAGGCAGGCGGAAUUCGUGGUGUAGCGGUGAAAUGCUUAGAUAUCACGAAGAACUCCGAUUGCGAAGGCAGCCUGCUAAGCUGCAACUGACAUUGAGGCUCGAAAGUGUGGGUAUCAAACAGGAUUAGAUACCCUGGUAGUCCACACGGUAAACGAUGAAUACUCGCUGUUUGCGAUAUACUGCAAGCGGCCAAGCGAAAGCGUUAAGUAUUCCACCUGGGGAGUACGCCGGCAACGGUGAAACUCAAAGGAAUUGACGGGGGCCCGCACAAGCGGAGGAACAUGUGGUUUAAUUCGAUGAUACGCGAGGAACCUUACCCGGGCUUAAAUUGCAGAUGAAUUACGGUGAAAGCCGUAAGCCGCAAGGCAUCUGUGAAGGUGCUGCAUGGUUGUCGUCAGCUCGUGCCGUGAGGUGUCGGCUUAAGUGCCAUAACGAGCGCAACCCUUGUUGUCAGUUACUAACAGGUUCCGCUGAGGACUCUGACAAGACUGCCAUCGUAAGAUGUGAGGAAGGUGGGGAUGACGUCAAAUCAGCACGGCCCUUACGUCCGGGGCUGCACACGUGUUACAAUGGGGGGUACAGAGGGCCGCUACCACGCGAGUGGAUGCCAAUCCCCAAAACCUCUCUCAGUUCGGACUGGAGUCUGCAACCCGACUCCACGAAGCUGGAUUCGCUAGUAAUCGCGCAUCAGCCACGGCGCGGUGAAUACGUUCCCGGGCCUUGUACACACCGCCCGUCAAGCCAUGGGAGCCGGGGGUACCUGAAGUGCGUAACCGCGAGGAGCGCCCUAGGGUAAAACUGGUGA